GAUGAACGCUGGCGGCGUGCCUAAUACAUGCAAGUCGAGCGAACAGACGAGGAGCUUGCUCCUCUGACGUUAGCGGCGGACGGGUGAGUAACACGUGGAUAACCUACCUAUAAGACUGGGAUAACUUCGGGAAACCGGAGCUAAUACCGGAUAAUAUAUUGAACCGCAUGGUUCAAUAGUGAAAGACGGUUUUGCUGUCACUUAUAGAUGGAUCCGCGCCGCAUUAGCUAGUUGGUAAGGUAACGGCUUGCCAAGGCAACGAUGCGUAGCCGACCUGAGAGGGUGAUCGGCCACACUGGAACUGAGACACGGUCCAGACUCCUACGGGAGGCAGCAGUAGGGAAUCUCCCGCAAUGGGCGAAAGCCUGACGGAGCAACGCCGCGUGAGUGAUGAAGGUCUUCGGAUCGUAAAACUCUGUUAUUAGGGAAGAACAAAUGUGUAAGUAACUAUGCACGUCUUGACGGUACCUAAUCAGAAAGCCACGGCUAACUACGUG
RNAcentral lists this ribosomal RNA (497 nucleotides) under uncultured bacterium. Its description in RNAcentral is "partial 16S ribosomal RNA". It matches the Rfam family "Bacterial small subunit ribosomal RNA", at positions 28 to 507 of the family's 1533-position model. The record is from RNAcentral.